AUUGACCUUCGGAUCAGGUAGGGAUACCCGCUGAACUUAAGCAUA
RNAcentral lists this ribosomal RNA (45 nucleotides) under Nephroma isidiosum. RNAcentral describes it as "partial 28S ribosomal RNA". The record is from RNAcentral. Lineage: Eukaryota; Fungi; Ascomycota; Lecanoromycetes; Peltigerales; Nephromataceae.